UAGUUUAAUUUUCUCAAACAUGGCUGGGAGACAGAUCUGCCCUGAAGGCAGGCAGAGACCUACAUUCUGCAGAGAGAUGGAAGGAGGGGUGGAAAUGGAUGGAGAAGCCAUGAGAGGGUCUCCUGCCUCUUGACUGGCCGGAGGGUUAAGGGAUGUUCUCCGAAGCCAGAGCGAGAAAGAAAGAAAGCAAGGAAUCCUUUUCGUAAAUCACAGCCCACGACAGGAUGGAACCCUUGGUGCCACCCCUCCUCUGGUGACAUCACUUCCUGUCAGGGGUUAUCACGUUAUCUCAGAGGACAGCUGGCAGAUGGUCAGCCUGUACCAAUCCCUGUAUCCUCAAAUACUAAAUCCUUU
This is a long non-coding RNA of Esox lucius (northern pike), 354 nucleotides long. Lineage: Eukaryota; Metazoa; Chordata; Actinopteri; Esociformes; Esocidae. The record is from Ensembl.